GACGAACGCUGGCGGCGUGCUUAACACAUGCAAGUCGAACGGAAAGGCCCUGCUUUUGUGGGGUGCUCGAGUGGCGAACGGGUGAGUAACACGUGAGUAACCUGCCCUUGACUUUGGGAUAACUUCAGGAAACUGGGGCUAAUACCGGAUAGGAGCUCCUGCUGCAUGGUGGGGGUUGGAAAGUUUCGGCGGUUGGGGAUGGACUCGCGGCUUAUCAGCUUGUUGGUGGGGUAGUGGCUUACCAAGGCUUUGACGGGUAGCCGGCCUGAGAGGGUGACCGGCAACGUUGGGAUUGGGGAGCGGCCAAACGCCCACGGGGGGGCGGAGGGGGGGAAUUUGGAACAAGGGGCGGAACCCGGAACCAGCAACGCCGGGGGCGGGAGGCCGGCCUAGGGGUUGUAACCCCCUUACGCCGGGGAAGAAGCGGGGGUGACGGUAAGGGGUAAAAAAGCCCCGACUAACUACGUC
This 468-nucleotide ribosomal RNA is filed under the name uncultured bacterium. RNAcentral's name for it is "partial 16S ribosomal RNA". It matches the Rfam family "Bacterial small subunit ribosomal RNA", at positions 28 to 507 of the family's 1533-position model. The record is from RNAcentral.